This 253-nucleotide ribosomal RNA is filed under the name uncultured prokaryote. Its description in RNAcentral is "partial 16S ribosomal RNA". It matches the Rfam family "Bacterial small subunit ribosomal RNA", at positions 524 to 776 of the family's 1533-position model. The record is from RNAcentral.
UACGGAGGGUGCAAGCAUUGAUCGGAAUUACUGGGCGUAAAGGGCGCGUAGGCGGCCCGAGAAGUCAGAUGUGAAAUUCCGGGGCUCAACCCCGGAGCUGCAUUUGAAACUUUCGGGCUAGAGGAUGGUAAGGGAAAACGGAAUUCCACGUGUAGCGGUGAAAUGCGUAGAUAUGUGGAAGAACACCGGUGGUGAAGACGGUUUUCUGUGCCAAACCAGACGCUGAGGCGCGAAAGCUAGGGGAGCAAACAGG